This 501-nucleotide ribosomal RNA is filed under the name uncultured bacterium. RNAcentral describes it as "bacterial SSU rRNA". It matches the Rfam family "Bacterial small subunit ribosomal RNA", at positions 28 to 507 of the family's 1533-position model. The record is from RNAcentral.
AAUGAACGCUGGCGGCGUGCCUAACACAUGCAAGUCGAGCGGUAAGGCCCCUUCGGGGGUACACGAGCGGCGAACGGGUGAGUAACGCGUGGGUAACCUACCCAGAAGUGGGGGAUAGCCCCGGGAAACCGGGGGUAAUACCGCAUGCGUCGCAUCUGACGCAAGUCGGAUGUGGCAAAGGCGGGGAUCUUCGGACCUGUCGCUUCUGGAUGGGCCCGCGUCCGAUUAGCUUGUUGGUGAGGUAAUGGCUCACCAAGGCAUCGAUCGGUAGCCGGCCUGAGAGGGUGAACGGCCACAUUGGGACUGAGACACGGCCCAGACUCCUACGGGAGGCAGCAGUGGGGAAUUUUGGGCAAUGGGCGCAAGCCUGACCCAGCGACGCCGCGUGGAGGAUGAAGGCCUUCGGGUUGUAAACUCCUGUCAGGUGGGAAGAAAUGCCCGUCGGUGAAUAGCCGACGGGAGUUGACGGUACCACCAAAGGAAGCCCCGGCUAACUCCGUG